AGCUCCAAUAGCGUAUAUUAAAGUUGUUGCAGUUAAAAAGCUCGUAGUUGGAUUUUGGGUUGGGUCUGUCUAACCGCCGCAAGGUGUGUACGGAUGGGUCCUUCCUUCCUCUUGAAGACUCCAUGUGCACUUUACUGUGUGUGUGGCAGGAUUCGAGACUUUUACUUUGAAAAAAUUAGAGUGUUCAAAGCAGGCCUUCGCUUGAAUACAUUAGCAUGGAAUAAUGAAAUAGGACGUCGGUUCUAUUUUGUUGGUUUCUAGGACCGAAGUAAUGAUUAAUAGGGAUAGUUGGGGGCAUUAAUAUUUAAUUGUCAGAGGUGAAAUUCUUGGAUUUAUGAAAGAUUAACUUCUGCGAAAGCAUUUGCCAAGGAUGUUUUCA
RNAcentral lists this ribosomal RNA (379 nucleotides) under uncultured eukaryote. RNAcentral describes it as "SSU rRNA". It matches the Rfam family "Eukaryotic small subunit ribosomal RNA", at positions 587 to 972 of the family's 1831-position model. The record is from RNAcentral.